CCUACGGGGGGCUGCAGUGGGGAAUAUUGGACGAUUGGGGCAACCCUGAUCCAGCCAUGCCGCGUGUGUGAAGAAGGCCCUCGGGUUGUAAAGCACUUUCAGUGAGGAAGAACGCCUGGUGGUUAAUACCCAUCAGGAAAGACAUCACUCACAGAAGAAGCACCGGCUAACUCCGUGCCAGCAGCCGCGGUAAUACGGAGGGUGCGAGCGUUAAUCGGAAUUACUGGGCGUAAAGCGCGCGUAGGUGGCUUGAUAAGCCGGUUGUGAAAGCCCCGGGCUCAACCUGGGAACGGCAUCCGGAACUGUCAAGCUAGAGUGCAGGAGAGGAAGGUAGAAUUCCCGGUGUAGCGGUGAAAUGCGUAGAGAUCGGGAGGAAUACCAGUGGCGAAGGCGGCCUUCUGGACUGACACUGACACUGAGGUGCGAAAGCGUGGGUAGCAAACAGGAUUAGAUACCCUGGUAGUC
RNAcentral lists this ribosomal RNA (465 nucleotides) under Vreelandella stevensii. Its description in RNAcentral is "partial 16S ribosomal RNA". It matches the Rfam family "Bacterial small subunit ribosomal RNA", at positions 338 to 795 of the family's 1533-position model. Lineage: Bacteria; Pseudomonadati; Pseudomonadota; Gammaproteobacteria; Oceanospirillales; Halomonadaceae. The record is from RNAcentral.